AUUGAACGCUGGCGGCAGGCCUAACACAUGCAAGUCGAGCGGAUGAAGGGAGCUUGCUCCUGGAUUCAGCGGCGGACGGGUGAGUAAUGCCUAGGAAUCUGCCUGGUAGUGGGGGAUAACGUCCGGAAACGGGCGCUAAUACCGCAUACGUCCUGAGGGAGAAAGUGGGGGAUCUUCGGACCUCACGCUAUCAGAUGAGCCUAGGUCGGAUUAGCUAGUUGGUGGGGUAAAGGCCUACCAAGGCGACGAUCCGUAACUGGUCUGAGAGGAUGAUCAGUCACACUGGAACUGAGACACGGUCCAGACUCCUACGGGAGGCAGCAGUGGGGAAUAUUGGACUAUGGGCGAAAGCCUAAUCCAGCCAUGCCGCGUGUGUGAAGAAGGUCUUCGGAUUGUAAAGCACUUUAAGUUGGGAGGAAGGGCAGUAAGUUAAUACCUUGCUGUUUUGACGUUACCAACAGAAUAAGCACCGGCUAACUUCGUG
RNAcentral lists this ribosomal RNA (484 nucleotides) under uncultured bacterium. RNAcentral describes it as "partial 16S ribosomal RNA". It matches the Rfam family "Bacterial small subunit ribosomal RNA", at positions 30 to 507 of the family's 1533-position model. The record is from RNAcentral.